This 519-nucleotide ribosomal RNA is filed under the name uncultured bacterium. RNAcentral describes it as "bacterial SSU rRNA". It matches the Rfam family "Bacterial small subunit ribosomal RNA", at positions 383 to 895 of the family's 1533-position model. The record is from RNAcentral.
CUGACGGAGCAACGCCGCGUGAGUGAUGAAGGCCUUCGGGUUGUAAAACUCUGUCUUCUGUGAAGAACAAGUCUGUGAGUGGAGUGCACAGGCCCUGACGGUAACAGAGGAGGAAGCCCCGGCUAACUACGUGCCAGCAGCCGUGGUAAUACGUAGGGGCAAGCGUUGUCCGGAAUCACUGGGCGUAAAGCGCGCGCAGGCGGCGAUCUGCGUCUGGGGUGAAAGCCCGGAGCUCAACUCCGGGAUUGCCUUGGAUACGGGGUCGCUUGAGGAUCGGAGAGGCAAGGGGAAUUCCACGUGUAGCGGUGAAAUGCGUAGAGAUGUGGAGGAACACCUGUGGCGAAGGCGCCUUGCUGGCCGAUUUCUGACGCUGAGGCGCGAAAGCGUGGGGAGCAAACAGGAUUAGAUACCCUGGUAGUCCACGCCGUAAACGAUGAGUGCUAGGUGUUGGGGGGUACCACCCUCAGUGCCGAAGCUAACGCAUUAAGCACUCCGCCUGGGGAGUACGGUCGCAAGACU